RNAcentral lists this ribosomal RNA (392 nucleotides) under Amblyomma longirostre. Its description in RNAcentral is "partial small subunit ribosomal RNA". The record is from RNAcentral. Lineage: Eukaryota; Metazoa; Arthropoda; Arachnida; Ixodida; Ixodidae.
UUUUAAACUAGGAUUAGAUACCCUAUUAUUAUGAAAUUAAUAUUGUUAGUAAGUAUUAAUUAUGAAAACAAAAAACUAUGGCGGUACUCUAAGCUUUUCAGAGGAAUUUGCUCUUUUAUGGAUAAAACGCCCUUACCUUACUAAUUCUAGUUAAAUCAGUUUNGUAUACCACUAUGAAAGUAAUAAUUUACAAUUAUUACUGAGAAUUUUAUAAAUAGAAAAUAAAUUAAGUCAUGGUGCAGCAUAAGAUUUAGAAUGAAGUGAAUUACAUUGCUUAACAGUUAAAAUAAUUUGAACAAAAUANNUAAAGGAUUUGAAAGUAAAAAUUUAAUAAAAUGAACUUUUGAAUUAAGUUCUGGAGUAUGUACAUAUCGCCCGUCACUCUUUAAAAA